GACGAACGCUGGCGGCGUGCUUAACACAUGCAAGUCGAACGGAAAGGCCCUGCUUGUGUGGGGUGCUCGAGUGGCGAACGGGUGAGUAACACGUGAGUAACCUGCCCUUGACUUUGGUGUAACUUCAGGAAACUGGGGCUAAUACAGGAUAGGAUCUCAUGCUCGAUGGUGGGGGUGGGAACGUUUCGGCGGUGGGGGAUGGACUCGCGGCUUAUGAGUUUGUUGGUGGGGUAGUGGCUUACCAAGGCUUUGACGGGUAGCCGGCCUUAGAGGGUGACCGGCCACAUGGGGCCUGAGAUACGCCCCAGACUCCUACGGGAGGCAGCAGUGGGGAAUAUUGCACAAUGGGCGCAAGCCUGAUGCAGCAACGCCGCGUGCGUGAUGACGGCCUUCGGGUUGUAAACCGCUUUCGCCUGUGACGAAGCGUGAGUGACGGUAACGGGUAAAGAAGCACCGGCUAACUACGUG
This 468-nucleotide ribosomal RNA is filed under the name uncultured bacterium. Its description in RNAcentral is "partial 16S ribosomal RNA". It matches the Rfam family "Bacterial small subunit ribosomal RNA", at positions 28 to 507 of the family's 1533-position model. The record is from RNAcentral.